UGAGGAAUAUUGGUCAAUGGGCGCGAGCCUGAACCAGCCAAGUAGCGUGAAGGAUGAAGGUCCUAUGGAUUGUAAACUUCUUUUAUAGCAGAAUAAAGUGACCCACGUGUGGGUUUUUGUAUGUAUGCUAUGAAUAAGGAUCGGCUAACUCCGUGCCAGCAGCCGCGGUAAUACGGAGGAUCCGAGCGUUAUCCGGAUUUAUUGGGUUUAAAGGGUGCGUAGGCGGAAAGAUAAGUCAGCCUGUGAAAGUUUGCGGCUCAACCGUAAAAUUGCAGUUGAUACUGUUUUUCUUGAGUGUACAUAAGGUAGGCGGAAUUCGUGGUGUAGCGGUGAAAUGCUUAGAUAUCACGAAGAACUCCAAUUGCGAAGGCAGCUUACCGGGGUACAACUGACGCUGAUGCACGAAAGUGUGGGUAUCAAACA
This 423-nucleotide ribosomal RNA is filed under the name uncultured bacterium. Its description in RNAcentral is "bacterial SSU rRNA". It matches the Rfam family "Bacterial small subunit ribosomal RNA", at positions 355 to 774 of the family's 1533-position model. The record is from RNAcentral.